Molecule: ribosomal RNA, 468 nt
Filed under: uncultured bacterium
Lineage: Bacteria
Description: partial 16S ribosomal RNA
Rfam family: Bacterial small subunit ribosomal RNA
Source: RNAcentral
GACGAACGCUGGCGGCGUGCUUAACACAUGCAAGUCGAACGGAAAGGCCCUGCUUUUGUGGGGUGCUCGAGUGGCGAACGGGUGAGUAACACGUGAGUAACCUGCCCUUGACUUUGGGAUAACUUCAGGAAACUGGGGCUAAUACCGGAUAGGAGCUCCUGCUGCAUGGUGGGGGUUGGAAAGUUUCGGCGGUUGGGGAUGGACUCGCGGCUUAUCAGCUUGUUGGUGGGGUAGUGGCUUACCAAGGCUUUGACGGAUAGCCGGCCUGAGAGGGUGACCGGCCACAUUGGGACUGAGAUACGGCCCAGACUCCUACGGGAGGCAGCAGUGGGGAAUAUUGCACAAUGGGCGGAAGCCUGAUGCAGCAACGCCGCGUGCGUGAUGACGGCCUUCGGGUUGUAAACCGCUUUCGCCUGUGACGAAGCGUGAGUGACGGUAAUGGGUAAAGAAGCACCGGCUAACUACGUG